UACAGAGGGUGCAAGCGUUAAUCGGAAUUACUGGGCGUAAAGCGAGCGUAGUCGGUUAUUUAAGUCGGAUGUGAAAUCCCCGGGCUCAACCUGGGAACUGCAUUUGUGACUGCAAGGCUAGAGUACGGUAGAGGGGGAUGGAAUUCCGCGUGUAGCAGUGAAAUGCGUAGAUAUGCGGAGGAACACCGAUGGCGAAGGCAAUCCCCUGGACCUGUACUGACGCUCAUGCACGAAAGCGUGGGGAGCAAACAGG
RNAcentral lists this ribosomal RNA (253 nucleotides) under uncultured bacterium. RNAcentral's name for it is "partial 16S ribosomal RNA". It matches the Rfam family "Bacterial small subunit ribosomal RNA", at positions 524 to 776 of the family's 1533-position model. The record is from RNAcentral.